Rhinolophus ferrumequinum (greater horseshoe bat) is the source of this 5982-nucleotide RNA transcript. It is a transcript of the gene named DExH-box helicase 57, with no coding region annotated. The record is from RefSeq and is a predicted model, not a curated record. NCBI's taxonomy places the organism in Eukaryota, Metazoa, Chordata, Mammalia, Chiroptera, Rhinolophidae. The transcript is spliced from 25 exons.
GUUGUGCAGCUGCAGCUGGGCCGCGGCGGAGCUGCUCCGGGUGAGAUCCGUGAGAGAGGCUGAGUCUGGUGGGAUCUCUCACCCCUGGACGCUCCCUCCUGACACCUGCCCCGGGGAGCAGCGCUGCGAUCCGGUGAAAAUGAGUUCUUCAGUAAGAAGAAAAGGCAGGCCCGGCAAAGGAGGUGGAAAAGGGUCUUCUUCUAGAGGAGGAAGAGGAGGCAGGAGUCACAAAUCUCAUGGGGGUGGCAGUGGUGGUGGUGGCAGUGGUGGCAAUAGAAAGUCCUCAAGUAGAAUUUGGGACGAUGGUGAUGACUUUUGUAUCUUCAGUGAAUCAAGGCACCCAGCCAGACCUAGCAGCAGUAGCACAAGAAAAGGAGAUGCACGCCCCAAGUGGAAGCCCGAAGCUAAAGUGCCUCUCCAGACUCUACAUAUGACUUCUGAGAAUCAAGAGAAAGUGAAAGCUCUUCUCCGAGACCUGCAAGAACAAGAUGCAGAUGUUGGAUCUGAAAGAAGCAUUUCUGGGGAGGAGGAAGAUGACGAGCCUGAUUGUGAUGAUGCUCAGUACUGGUCAGCUGGACGAGAAGCUGCCCUUGUUCCUGACUUGGAUCCUUUGGAAUAUGCCGGCUCAGGCCUGGAGGAACCUUAUAAUCCAGAAUUGACAGUCUCAACAUUAGCAGUGCAAAAACUUUCUAGGUAUGGUUUCAGCACUGAACACUGUCAAGCAUCCCUGAGGAUUUGUGGUGGAGAUGUGGGGGCAUCACUAGAACAUCUGCUUACCCAGUGUUUUUCAGAGACAUUUGGAGAGAGGAUGAAGAUCUCUGAGGCAGUUGCCCAUAUAAGUGUGGAUGAGUGUGUGGAACAGCGACAGGAAGAGGCAUUUGCCCUCAAGUCAAUCUGUGGAGAAAAAUUCAUAGAAAGAAUUCAGAACAAAGUCUGGACCAUUGGAUUAGAACUGGAGUACUUGACAAAUAAAUUCUGCAGAUCCAAGCGAAAGGAAAGUACCAAAAAUAUACAGGAGAUUUCACAUGAAAUCUGCAGAUUUUACCUCAAAGGAAAUUGUAAAUUUGGAUCAAAAUGCAAAUUCAAACAUGAAGUGCCCCCAAAUCAAAUUGUUGGAAGAAUAGAAAGAAGUGUGGAUGAUUCUCAUCUUAAUGCUAAUGAAGAUGCAUCUUUUUUAUAUGAACUUGAAAUUCGAUUUCCUAAAGGCCACAAGUACCCCUACCAAGCUCCCCUUGUGGCAUUUUAUUCCACCAAUGAGAAUCUACCUCUGGCUUGUCGUUUACAUAUUUCUGAGUUCCUUUAUGGCAAGGCCUUGACAUUUGCAGAAACUUCAGAACCUGUUGUAUAUUCUUUGAUAACCCUUUUAGCGGAAGAAUCAGAAAUAGUCAAGUUAUUAACAAAUACCCAUCACAAGUACAGUAUCCCUCCAGUGAACUUUCUGCCAGUAUCCUCUGGGACCAGAAUAAAUAAUCCUGUCUGUCGUAAACCAGUGAUUCCAAAUAAUUCUUUUGUUUCCAGUCAACUUCAAGAUGUUGAAAAAGAAUCAGAACCUGAGGAGACAGAUGAGGAUGAAGGUCCUGCACCAGUUGUAGUGGAGAAUGAAAGCUAUGUGAACCUUAAGAAAAAGAUUUCCAAAAGAUAUGACUGGCAGGCAAAAUCAGUGCAUGCUGAAAAUGCUAAAAUCUGCAAGCAGUUCCGAAUAAAACAGGCUUCCAGACAGUUCCAGUCAAUUCUGCAAGAAAGACAAUCACUCCCUGCUUGGGGAGAAAGGGAAACCAUUCUUAAAUUGUUGAGCAAGCACCAAGUACUUGUUAUAAGUGGUAUGACUGGCUGUGGGAAAACCACGCAGAUUCCACAGUUUAUUCUGGAUGAAUCUCUGAAUGGACCACCAGAGAAGGUGGCUAACAUCAUUUGUACCCAACCCCGACGAAUCUCGGCAAUCUCUGUCGCUGAACGUGUUGCUAAAGAGAGAGCAGAAAGAGUGGGUCUGACUGUGGGAUACCAAAUCCGGUUAGAGAGUGUCAAGUCCUCAGCCACCAGACUGUUGUACUGCACCACAGGAGUACUGCUGAGAAGGCUAGAAGGAGAUACAGCUCUCCAGGGGGUCACCCAUAUCAUUGUGGAUGAAGUUCAUGAGCGGACAGAAGAAAGUGACUUCUUGCUGCUGGUUUUGAAGGACAUUGUAUUGCAGAGACCAGCUCUUCAAGUUAUUCUGAUGAGUGCAACUUUAAACGCUGAGCUCUUUUCAGAAUAUUUCAGUUCCUGCCCAGUUAUUACUAUACCAGGUCGUACAUUUCCUGUUGAUCAGUUUUUUCUGGAAGAUGCAAUUGCUGUGACAAGGUAUGUGUUACAGGAUGGGAGCCCAUACAUGCGCUCCAUGAAACAGAUGUCAAAGGAGAAGCUGAAAGCAAGGCGCAACAGAACUGCGUUUGAAGAAGUGGAGGAAGACCUGAGGCUUUCCCUUCACCUGCAGGAUCAGGAUUCUGUCAGAGAUGCAGUGCCUGAUCAACAGUUAGAUUUUAAGCAGCUCCUGGCCCGCUAUAGAGGGGUUAGCAAAUCAGUCAUCAAAACAAUGUCCGUCAUGGAUUUUGAAAAGGUUAAUCUUGAAUUAAUAGAGGCCUUGUUAGAAUGGAUUGUAGAUGGAAAGCACUCCUACCCUCCAGGUGCUAUACUUGUAUUUUUACCGGGACUAGCAGAAAUCAAGAUGCUUUAUGAACAGCUACAAUCAAAUUCUCUUUUCAACAACAGACGUAGUAAUCGAUGUGUUGUUCACCCACUUCAUUCAUCUUUAUCCAGUGAAGAGCAGCAGGCUGUGUUUGUAAAACCUCCUGUAGGUGUAACUAAGAUUAUAAUUUCUACCAACAUUGCUGAGACAUCCAUCACCAUCGAUGAUGUUGUCUAUGUCAUUGAUUCUGGGAAAAUGAAAGAAAAGAGAUAUGAUGCCAGCAAAGGCAUGGAAAGUCUAGAGGAUACUUUUGUCUCUCAAGCUAAUGCUCUGCAGAGGAAAGGUCGAGCGGGCCGUGUUGCAUCUGGGGUCUGCUUCCACUUGUUCACUAGCCAUCACUUCAGUCACCAGCUUUUAAAGCAGCAGCUACCAGAAAUACAAAGAGUGCCAUUGGAACAGCUAUGUCUGAGAAUUAAAAUUUUAGAGAUGUUUAGCACUCAUGAUCUUCAGUCAGUGUUCUCUCGGCUCAUUGAACCGCCACACCCUGAUUCUCUCCGAGCCUCAAAAAUACGAUUACGAGACUUGGGAGCUUUAACUCUAGAUGAAAAACUGACUCCCUUGGGGUAUCACUUGGCCUCUCUGCCCGUAGAUGUGAGAAUCGGCAAACUGAUGUUGUUUGGGUCUAUCUUCCGCUGUUUGGAUCCUGCUCUCACCAUUGCUGCCAGUUUGGCGUUUAAAUCUCCUUUUGUGUCUCCCUGGGAUAAAAAAGAGGAAGCUAACCAGAAAAAACUAGAAUUUGCAUUUGCAAACAGUGAUUAUCUGGCCCUUCUACGAGCAUACAAAGGAUGGCAGCUAAGUACAAAAGAAGGUAUGCGUGCAAGUUAUAAUUACUGCAGACAAAACUUCUUGUCAGGAAGAGUUCUUCAGGAAAUGGCCAGCCUCAAACGCCAAUUCACUGAACUGUUAUCAGAUAUAGGCUUUGUAAAGGAGGGACUCCGAGCCAGGGAAAUUGAGAAAAGGGCCCUAGGAGGAGAUGGUAUCUUGGAUGCCACAGGAGAAGAGGCAAACACAAAUGCUGAGAACCCCAAGCUGAUAUCAGCCAUGCUGUGUGCUGCUUUGUACCCAAAUGUAGUGCAGGUGAAAAGCCCAGAAGGGAAAUUUCAGAAGACUAGUACCGGAGCUGUCAGAAUGCAACCAAAAUCAGAUGAGCUGAAGUUUGUCACCAAGAACGAUGGAUAUGUGCACAUUCACCCUUCAUCGGUGAACUAUCAGGUGAGACACUUUGACAGCCCCUACCUGGUGUACCACGAGAAGAUCAAAACUAGUCGGGUGUUCAUCCGAGACUGCAGCGUGGUGUCUGUGUACCCGCUGGUCUUGUUUGGAGGAGGCCAAGUGAAUGUGCAGCUUCAAAGGGGAGAAUUUGUUGUCUCCUUGGAUGAUGGUUGGAUCCGUUUUGCAGCCGCUUCCCAUCAGGUGGCAGAAUUAGUAAAGGAACUUCGCUGCGAACUUGACCAGCUCCUCCAGGACAAGAUAAAAAACCCGAGCAUAGAUCUGUGUACCUGUCCUCGAGGGUCCCGGAUCAUCAGCAUGAUUGUCAAGCUUGUCACCACGCAAUAAAUACCAGUCUUAGGAGAGUGCUUGCUCCUCACCUGCUUCCUGUUCACCUGGGAAAUAACAGCAGCACUUCUACCUCGAACCAGAGCUCCGUGCUGGGGCUGGCCCCAGUGAAGGGGCCCAGGGCACGCACUGCUGAGUCAGCUGGGCACCACAUACCCUUCGGGAAAGUUUCCAGACUAAGUGUUUCCAACAAAGCAGUAGGCACUCCUGGCACAAUUUGGAAUGUCGAUGUGAGACAGUCUAAAAAUCAGCUUGCCUGUCUGUUCCCUGUGACUGUCCUGGAAUGAAUGAAAUUCACCUUAGAACACAGAAGGGAAUGUUUAAUACAAUUCUGUUUUAAUCUAUAUUAUUUUUCUCCUGCUUUUUACUGGGGUGAGAUAGGGGCAUGAGGAGAAAUACUGAUUGUUUUUUCUGUCAUACAGGCUCAACUGAGAGAAGUCAGAACAGAGAAGGAAAAAAAAAAUCAUGUGAGCAAGAAAAAUUAAAAUUUUAUUUCAGGCUUUUGGCUACAGAGUAAACUUGAUUUGUGAGGGAUUUUUAUUUUUUACUCAUUCAAGAGCAGAAAAGAAUUCUUUUGGAGAGGCACUCAUGCCCCAUACAGGAACCAUCAGGAAUGAGUGGAAUCUGUUUCGUAAAGAUGCAAGAUAGCAGCCCCAGACAGUUUGGCCUCUUUGUGCCGUCUUUGCCUGAUUUGGGCCCUCCCCGGGUCUACUCCUGAGUCAUUUCUAACCCAGCUAACUGGUGAGUAAGCCAGAACACAUUCCCCCAGCAAGAUACGAGAAGGAUGGCUUGGAAUCAUUUGACUGGAUUUUUUUUACCUCUAUUUCAACUUUUUAGGAAAGAAACAAAUGGCAACAAAAGCCAGUAUGAGGCGUUUGUUUGAAAACGCAAGUUCCCCUUGGAAAUGGAGCCCACUCCCGUAACUGUCAACAAUGAGGAUCAGUGUUUAGGAUGAUGACCCUGACAUAUUACAAACACAGUAUUGCUAUGUGUGGUAUAGGAACAUAUAAUGAACAUUUUCAACAGAAGCAUUUCAAACAGGGUCUUCAAAAAUUAUUGUUGCUUAUGCAGAAAAUGCAGUUACUGGCUACCUCCUCCAAACUAGUACUGAAAAUGGCCUGAGAGAGUCAAUUUUUCUUCCUGUUGAAUGAAUUUAUAAAAAAGAGAUUAUCCAUGGCUAACUUUUUCUACAAAAGUUAGAUAGGAUAAUUUAGCCAAAAAGGCUCAUUUACUUCCCAAGAGCCCCUUUUUAAUAAGUUUUACCUCAUUCCAUCCUUGGGUUUCAAAUGUAUUAGAACAAAAAUGCCUGCUAACCUUUCAAAUAAGACUCUUUGUCCGUAGACGAUGAUUAUAACAAAUCCAGGAUUUCAUCAUGGAUAAAGGCUACAAAAGAGUGUCCUCAUAGGAGAAAAUGUAGCUUUUGUUUGUUUUAAUGCAGUAGUUCUCAGCUGGGGGCUAUUUUGCCCACUAGUGGACCUUGGGCAAUAUCUAAAGAUGUGGUCACAUUGAGGGGGAGAGCGGGUACUCGUGGCAUCUAGUGGUUAGAAGCCACGGAUGCUGCUAAAUACCAUACAAUGCACAAGAUAACCCCCAACAAAAAAUUAUCUAGUCCAAAAUCAGUAGUGCAAAAGCAGAGAAAACCUGUUUAAACAAAAUAAGAUAAGUAAACACAUAGAAAGUCUAGCCACUAGUUAUUAGUC